This 75-nucleotide transfer RNA is filed under the name Flavobacteriales bacterium. RNAcentral describes it as "tRNA-Trp". It matches the Rfam family "tRNA". From Rfam's summary of the family: Transfer RNA (tRNA) molecules are approximately 80 nucleotides in length. Their secondary structure includes four short double-helical elements and three loops (D, anti-codon, and T loops). The record is from RNAcentral. Lineage: Bacteria; Pseudomonadati; Bacteroidota; Flavobacteriia; Flavobacteriales.
ACGGGUGUAGCUCAAUUGGUAGAGCGACGGUCUCCAAAACCGUAGGCUGCGGGUUCGAUUCCUGCCACCCGUGCC